GAUGAACGCUGGCGGCGUGCCUAAUACAUGCAAGUCGAGCGAAUGGAUUAAGAGCUUGCUCUUAUGAAGUUAGCGGCGGACGGGUGAGUAACACGUGGGUAACCUGCCCAUAAGACUGGGAUAACUCCGGGAAACCGGGGCUAAUACCGGAUAACAUUUUGAACCGCAUGGUUCGAAAUUGAAAGGCGGCUUCGGCUGUCACUUAUGGAUGGACCCGCGUCGCAUUAGCUAGUUGGUGAGGUAACGGCUCACCAAGGCAACGAUGCGUAGCCGACCUGAGAGGGUGCUCGGCCACACGGGGACUGAGACACGGCCCAGACUCCGACGGGAGGCAGCAGUAGGGAAUCUUCCGCAAUGGACGAAAGUCUGACGGAGCAACGCCGCGUGAGUGAUGAAGGCUUUCGGGUCGUAAAACUCUGUUGUUAGGGAAGAACAAGUGCUAGUUGAAUAAGCUGGCACCUUGACGGUACCUAACCAGAAAGCCACGGCUAACUACGUGCCAGCCGCCGCGGUAA
RNAcentral lists this ribosomal RNA (515 nucleotides) under uncultured bacterium. RNAcentral describes it as "partial 16S ribosomal RNA". It matches the Rfam family "Bacterial small subunit ribosomal RNA", at positions 28 to 523 of the family's 1533-position model. The record is from RNAcentral.